AAUGCUACAAAUUAUAUAAUUUGCAGGGGUUUUAACCCCCACUAUACAUCCCAAAAAAUACCGCAAAAUUUCUUCCUUUUUUCCCCAAAAAACAUUUGUCUCUCUAAUAUUCAUAGAACAAAACAUUUCUCGCAGUGGGAGGUACGGCCGGCCAUAGUAUUAUCCAGCUCCAGCCAUUGGGAGAUAUGCAGUGGGAGGUCUCCAGCCAUUUCCUUUCCCGCUUUGACCAUUGUUUAGAGUGCCGAUGAAUAAAUAUUUUUGAAAGCUUUUAUGGCUUAGGUAUCUGGGAAUCCGAUUUUGACAGAUGAAGAGUUUGACAAGCUUAAGUUGAAACUUAAGGUGGAUGAUAAAGAAAUGGAUCUUGGGCCUAACGCAACCUCAAAAGCUAGCUCAUGAAGGGAGGAUUGCCCAAGACCAUAUACGGAGACCAAAGACCCUUUAACCCACCGAUGUGGGACUCCAACAAUGGAUGGCAGUGAAAUUGUGGUUGAGGGUCCAUGGUACAGUCUCCGUAGUAGAAAGGUUUGUCCUACAGUUUUUCCAUUUUCACUACGAGGACACGCUAUAUUAUUUAUAUUGUGUAUUAUCGUAGUAUGCUUUGAUCAAAUUUACUUGUUUCAGGUUUACAGUGACCUUUAUGUUGAUUAUCUAAAGAUGUUCUUGCUAAAUGUCCUGGCAACUUUUGUUGCGUUUCGAUUGUUAGUAGCAUUUCUUUUUCUCUCAUUACUUUGGCUUCAAAAUCGCAUUGUUUGCAUAGUUUCAAACAACAAAAAAUGUUUGGUCCAUUUCAAAAAUUAAUUGUAGCAUUUAAAGUAUUCACCAAAGAUGUUUACUUUUGAGCUUUUAAGAAAUAAGACUAAGAGAAAUCUUGUAUUAGAGAGUGUAAAGGUCGGUUCGUUCUUGUUUACAUGUUUAUAUAUCAAAUAGACAUUUUCUUAUUGGGAGUGGAAUAACAAUUUAAGGUAGAGAAAGAAAAGAAGAAAUACUGAUAUCUAACUUGAAAAAGAAGGAUAACUAGUUCUCUGUUAAAUUGUUUUCUGCCUGACCUAAUGUUUGCAUCAAUUUUAUAAAUUCAUACGUACAACUUUCAUACUUUUAUGUUGAUGGUAUUCACACGUCGUGUCAGUAAUGGAAAGGCAAAAAGGUGGCACCGUACGUAUUUAUGUUUGCAGCUCACAGAGUAACAACCCUAUUUUUCUUUAAUAUGGUUUAUUUGGCUAUUCUAUUACAUGUUCUUUUUCCUCAAUGAUUUGACUGGAUUUGAGAUCACUUAUAUUUUGGAGGUAAACACAUAUCAUCCCUUUCCUGGAUCUUUAUUUUUUUUUCCUAGUCAAAGUGAAUAAGCACAGAAUAUUUUGCAGUAGCUUGGUUAAAAAGUUGGGAUUUUCAUUAGCUUUAGCAAAGUGAUAGGAAGUUGGAAGAUCUGAAAGCAUGUAACAAUACUAACACGUUAGGUGAUCCUGGAGGGAUUUGAAAUAACGUAGGAGAAUGUCUCUGAAUAGAUUAAUCAAGGGAAUAUUUGGUAAGUUAGGAGUUCAAACUAGUUACUCAAAAGGAUUUGAAGUAAGAGUGGUGUUGCUAAUUACGCUAAUCUUUGAGAGACGUCAAUAGUUACUGUACUUUGUCCAUGUUAGAGUGGUAAUGUUGAUUAACCUUUGUUUCUUUCAUAUGACUACAAUUGAUCUUCAUUGUUUAGGUUUCUUGAUUAUAUGGUUGUUGCAUAUCUGUGGUAAAGGAUCAUCUCGCUAGUUAGUUUUCCUUCUCUAUCUUGUUCUCUUUAGUGUUCUCUUUAGUUCGCACAUUAUAUGAUGCUUCCAAGUACACAGCAUAUGAGACAAAAUAUAUACCUUAGCUUCUUCUGUAGAGAUUACAUUGAAUAAAUUUGUUUAAUCUUAUCAAUCAGGAUCUAUCUUAUCUGAACAAAAAGGUAUGAAAGAGGUUCUAAUUUAUGGACUUGCCUAUUUCAAAAUCAUGAAUUCAUUUUCUGUCAAGCGUUGCCACUUUCCCAAGCAUCUUAUGAAUUAUGUGGACGUUCUUAGGUUGUGUCGUUGUGAUAAUUUUUUCCCUUUGUGAUCUGAAAUUUCUUAUAGGCCAGCAACCUGAAAAACUCUUCAUAUCUUGCUUGUAUUUUCUUGAAAAGAAAAACAAAAAUCAUUCAAUUCAACAUUUAUAUACUAUAUAGUCGGGGCUGACAAAGUUACUUCUCUCUACUCUUAGAUUUGGUGCAUCUGUUUUGCUUAAUUACUCUUAACUUGUGACACAGUAAUUGGAUAGGAUACAAAAUCUGCAUAUAAUUGACUUUAAGCAUUUAAGGAUGAUAGAACGGAUCACACUUAUUCUACUAAACUAUACCCGCUACAAUCUGAUUAUUGUAUACAAGUGUUACUUUUGUCGAACAGGGGAAUUGUGGUAAUUAAGAUAAUCUAUCAAAGAACCAGGUUCUUCUUUUUUUAUGGGCAAAGUUAGAGAACCAGGUUCAUGUGAUCAACCUUAUUUUAUGAAGUAACAUAGAGUUUUGAGUCUUAGUUACACAAGGUAGGGGUAAGGUCCGAGUUGGAUAAUUCUCUUGAGCAGGGAUAAAAUAGUUUCUCACUGAGCAUCUUCACUACUUUGUUGCUUUCAUAUAAAAUAGUUCACUAAUAUGUGUAUGUUCAUUAAUGUGUGUUCUAUUCUUCUAUGCCAGUGAUGUAAAGCGCACCUUAGUUGAGAAGUUGGCUUCACUUCGAGUAACAUCCAAACCUCAUUCAGUCUCCUCUGACGGUAUAUCUUAGAAGGCAAAGAACUUGAGUUUUAUAUGAAGAAACUAUAGAAGAAAAAGGGCAAGGCUGCAACUGCUUAAUUGGAGCUCAUCAAUUUUUGAGACUAAUUUAAAUAUUUUUCCUUUUUACCUAUUAAUCGACUUGGUUUGUGAGGAUUUUUUUUAAUCAUGCCAUGAGUCAAUCUUGAUUCCUCGGCUUCGUUUACUGA
Capsicum annuum is the source of this 2967-nucleotide long non-coding RNA. RefSeq lists it as uncharacterized. The record is from RefSeq and is a predicted model, not a curated record. NCBI's taxonomy places the organism in Eukaryota, Viridiplantae, Streptophyta, Magnoliopsida, Solanales, Solanaceae. The transcript has 4 exons.